RNAcentral lists this ribosomal RNA (497 nucleotides) under uncultured bacterium. RNAcentral's name for it is "partial 16S ribosomal RNA". It matches the Rfam family "Bacterial small subunit ribosomal RNA", at positions 28 to 507 of the family's 1533-position model. The record is from RNAcentral.
GAUGAACGCUGGCGGCGUGCCUAAUACAUGCAAGUCGAGCGAACGGACGAUAAGCUUGCUUCUCUGAUGUUAGCGGCGGACGGGUGAGUAACACGUGGAUAACCUACCUAUAAUACUGGGAUAACUUCGGGAAACCGUAGCUAAUACCGGAUAAUAUUUUGAACCUCAUGGUUCAAUAGUGUAAGACGGUCUUUCUUUCACUUAUAGAUGGAUCCGCGCUGCAUUAGCUAGUUGGUAAGGUAACGGCUUACCAAGGCAACGAUGCAUAGACUACCUGAGAGGGGGAUAGGCCAAACGGGAAAGGAGAAAAGGACAAGAAAACUACGGGAGGAAGCAGAAGGGAAUAUUACGCAAUGGGCGAAAGAAUGACGGAGCAAAGCAGCGUGAGUGAUGAAGGUCGUCGGAUCGUAAAACUCUGUUAGUAGGGAAGAAAAUAUGUGUAAGUAACUGUGCACAUAUUGACGGUAACUAAUCAGAAAGCAACGGCUAACUACGUG